RNAcentral lists this long non-coding RNA (2049 nucleotides) under Rattus norvegicus (Norway rat). RNAcentral's name for it is "long non-coding RNA NONRATT032579". Lineage: Eukaryota; Metazoa; Chordata; Mammalia; Rodentia; Muridae. The record is from RNAcentral.
AUGGCGCCUAAAGGCAAAGACUUUCCAGAUGCUGUGAUUUCAGUCACCAAAAAGCAGAAAAAGUCACGAAAAGUUGACUCCUACCUACCGGAAAGAAAUCAUCAGUUUUUGAAAAUUUGGCUUAAAAAAUACCCGUGGCUUGUGUAUGAUGAACUAUUAAACCUUAUGUUCUGUGUCCUGUGUCGUAAGCAUGGGGUAAUGUCAGGGGGGAGUACAGUAAGUUUUUUCUAUGGCACGGACAACUUUAGAGCUGAAUUUCUCAGUGCUCAUCACUUUAGUGAAGCCCACGCCAAGGCAUCACUCAUGGAAGCAACUAGUGAUUCUCCAGUGAACCGAGCUGCCACUGAACUGAUGGUAAGAACCAUGAGCAAAGUGACUCUGGGAAGAGUGGAGAACUUAUUUAGAUCAUGCCAUGCCCUAGUAAAGACCGGACAUUCCCUCAGAGAUUUUAUUUGGAUGUGUAAGUUGGAUGAUAUGAAGGGUGUUGAUAUUGGCCCAGUCUUCAGAACUAACAAAUCAGCAAGAACAUUUACAUAUUUCAUUGCUGAAGUAGAGAGGAAAAACCUAAGAGAAAAACUAGAAAAAAGUAACUUUUUCUCUGUCAUCACUGAUGGGACUGUAGACAGUCUAGGCAAGGAAGCCAAAAUGGUUUAUGUUCAAUUUGCACAUGCAGGAAAAGUGCAAUGCCAGAUUGUUGGGAUACAGCCAGUAGAACGAAAGGACCCUUUAACGAUAAAAAAUGCUAUUGAGAAAACUCUAGAGACAAAUCUUCAUCUUAAGCUGUCAAGCCAAGACUUGGUGAAGAAGCUGGUUGGUUUUGGAAGCGAUGAUUACCCUGGAAUAGAGGGAGAGAACAGAGUAUCUCUGCUUUUGAGAGAAAUGCAGCCAUGUGUGCAAAGUAUGUAUUGCUUUGCACAUCAUCUAGAACUGUCUUACAGAGAGAUGUUCCAGACUGUCCCUCUCUACAACAACCUUGAGGCACUCCUCACCGAUAUUUACCAUUUCUAUCACAACUCUCCUCUCCUCAAGAGUUCUCUGAUAACUGCCUUCAGGGGCCUCCACCUCCAACCUGUGAUGCCUUCUCAAAUAAGAGGGAGGCGGUGGUUUCAUGGAAUGCAAGCAGCCCUCCAGAACUUUCUCAAAGGAUACCCAGCAAUUGCCCAGCAACUGCAUUCAGUAAGUAAUUUUGAAGUGUUGUUUCCAAAACAUCGGGAAAAAAAUUUACUGAAUUCUUUUUGAAGUAAGAUUCUUGACAUACAGAAGUGCCCACCAUAUCAUCCCCAACUUGUGUUACAGGUAGGCAAAGGCAAAGACGAUACCAGUCAACAGAAAGCCAACAGACUUCUAGAACUCAUUCUCCGAGCAGACAUCAUCAAGUUUGCUCACUUCCUGACAGACAUCCUUAGUAUCCUUAGCCUUCUGUCCCAUGCCAGUAGGAACAGAAAUUCUUCCAUUGCCGAUGUAUCUGCUUCCUUGGAGUCAACACUGGAAAUGCUCCAGAUAUAUCAAUCAAGGUGACAGGUUGAGGACUUCUAAGGGUCCAUCAAGGUAGAUGAUUUGACUUGGGGAAUUGCUUUCCAGGUUUGCCUUCAUGUAAUUCUUUACUCGGGUGAUCUUCUCCCAGACCAGGGCCAAAAGAACGCAGGGUGGAAUCAACCACACACUUUCACGGUAACAGCCUCAGGGGGAAAGAAAACAUUUCGACCGUGAGAAAGGCGGUUUUAACACAUCUUAUUGAGAGAUUGCGAGGCUGUUUUAGAGAUGCCAGCCUUGAUGUGGUGAGAGCAACUGUGAUUGGAAGCUUUAGACUGUGGCCUACAAAGAUGAAUCAAGGUAACCCAUAGGCACCAAAUAAGCCAGUGCCUUUUGAUUGCGUGAAUUUAUUUUAGCUAUGUGACAUUUUUGUUUAUGUCUAUGGGUUACAGAAUUUGGAGUAAAAGAGAUAUCCAUCCUGAUUUCACAUUACCAACCAGUUCUAGAAGCUGCCAGUGUGAAAACUGAUGAGGUACAUACCGAAUGGAGCACAUUAAAAUUAGAAAUAUAUGCCAG